This 343-nucleotide long non-coding RNA is filed under the name Monodelphis domestica (gray short-tailed opossum). RNAcentral's name for it is "lncRNA (ENSMODG00000038215.1)". Lineage: Eukaryota; Metazoa; Chordata; Mammalia; Didelphimorphia; Didelphidae. The record is from RNAcentral.
AUGAAGAAAUUGAAGUCUACCAAAGGUUCUGAUCACUUCAAUUUGCAUUACUCCAUUUUCCUCUUAGAUAAAAUCACCUGGAGAGAAAGAUGGCAAACCAUACCAUUAUCUGCCAAGAAAAAUCCAAAUGGGCUCACAAAGACUGAACAACAACACAUGCCAGGUUUUUCACAGAGAGAUAAAAUAACAUUUUUGUAUUUGAAUGAAAAUAUUGGAGAGUAAACUCAUCUUUUUGUGGACUUGCUGAAAGUAUUUUCAGUAGAACUAUAGUAGUAGGUAGGUUGAUAGGAAGGUUCUAUGCUUCAUCUUGUUCUCAUGUGAUUUUCAAUUCUUUCUUUAGGUC